Molecule: ribosomal RNA, 253 nt
Filed under: uncultured bacterium
Lineage: Bacteria
Description: partial 16S ribosomal RNA
Rfam family: Bacterial small subunit ribosomal RNA
Source: RNAcentral
UACAGAGGGGGCAAGCGUUAUUCGGAAUUAUUGGGCGUAAAGGGCGCGUAGGCGGCUUGGCAAGUGGAAGGUGAAAUCCCUCGGCUUAACCGAGGAACUGCCCUCCAAACUGCUUCGCUUGAGACCGGGAGAGGUGAGUGGAAUUCCCAGUGUAGCGGUGAAAUGCGUAGAUAUUGGGAGGAACACCAGUGGCGAAGGCGGCUCACUGGACCGGUACUGACGCUGAUGCGCGAAAGCGUGGGGAGCAAACGGG